CAGCCGUAAACAAUGUGCGUUAGGUGUGUCGGUAACCACGUGUUACUGAUGCGCCGAAGAGAAAUCGUGAAACGCACCACCUGGGAAGUACGGUCGCAAGGCUGAAACUUAAAGGAAUUGGCGGGGGGAGGCACCACAACAGGUGGAGCCUGCGGUUUAAUUGGAUUCAACGCCGGACAUCUCACCGGAUAAGACAGCUGAAUGAUUGUCAAUCUGAAGGUUUUACAUGACUAGCUGAGAGGUGGUGCAUGGCGUCAGUGACU
RNAcentral lists this ribosomal RNA (263 nucleotides) under uncultured archaeon. RNAcentral's name for it is "partial 16S ribosomal RNA". It matches the Rfam family "Archaeal small subunit ribosomal RNA", at positions 748 to 1008 of the family's 1478-position model. The record is from RNAcentral.